Molecule: ribosomal RNA, 483 nt
Filed under: uncultured bacterium
Lineage: Bacteria
Description: partial 16S ribosomal RNA
Rfam family: Bacterial small subunit ribosomal RNA
Source: RNAcentral
AUUGAACGCUGGCGGCAGGCCUAACACAUGCAAGUCGAGCGGAUGAAGGGAGCUUGCUCCUGGAUUCAGCGGCGGACGGGUGAGUAAUGCCUAGGAAUCUGCCUGGUAGUGGGGGAUAACGUCCGGAAACGGGCGCUAAUACCGCAUACGUCCUGAGGGGGAAAGUGGGGGAUCUUCGGACCUCACGCUAUCAGAUGAGCCUAGGUCGGAUUAGCUAGUUGGUGGGGUAAAGGCCUACCAAGGCGACGAUCCGUAACUGGUCUGAGAGGAUGAUCAGUCACACUGGAACUGAGACACGGUCCAGACUCCUACGGGACGCAGCAGUGGGGAAUAUUGGACAAUGGGCGAAAGCCUGAUCCAGCCAUGCCGCGUGUGUGAAGAAGGUCUUCGGAUUGUAAAGCACUUUAAGUUGGGAGGAAGGGCAGUAAGUUAAUACCUUGCUGUUUUGACGUUACCAACAGAAUAAGCACCGGCUAACUUCGU